RNAcentral lists this ribosomal RNA (90 nucleotides) under Canalisporium dehongense. RNAcentral's name for it is "partial 28S ribosomal RNA". The record is from RNAcentral. Lineage: Eukaryota; Fungi; Ascomycota; Sordariomycetes.
CGCGGGGGCCUGCUCUCUCCAAAGAUCCGGAAGGCUCGUUCUUCUGGUGAUUACUUUGGCCUCGGGUCGGACGAGGCUACCCGCUGAACU